CAGCCUGAUGAGCCAUGCCGCGUGUGUGAAGAAGGCCUUCGGGUUGUAAAGCACUUUCAGUCGUGAGGAAGGUGGUGUAGUUAAUAGCUGCAUUAUUUGACGUUAGCGACAGAAGAAGCACCGGCUAACUCCGUGCCAGCAGCCGCGGUAAUACGGAGGGUGCGAGCGUUAAUCGGAAUUACUGGGCGUAAAGCGCAUGCAGGUGGUUUGUUAAGUCAGAUGUGAAAGCCCGGGGCUCAACCUCGGAAUUGCAUUUGAAACUGGCAGACUAGAGUACUGUAGAGGGGGGUAGAAUUUCAGGUGUAGCGGUGAAAUGCGUAGAGAUCUGAAGGAAUACCGGUGGCGAAGGCGGCCCCCUGGACAGAUACUGACACUCAGAUGCGAAAGCGUGGGGAGCAAACAGGAUUAGAUACCCUGGUAGUCCACGCCGUAAACGAUGUCUACUUGGAGGUUGUGGCCUUGAGCCGUGGCUUUCGGAGCUAACGCGUUAAGUAGACCGCCUGGGGAGUACGGUCGCAAGAUUAAAACUCAAAUGAAUUGACGGGGGCCCGCACAAGCGGUGGAGCAUGUGGUUUAAUUCGAUGCAACGCGAAGAACCUUACCUACUCUUGACAUCCAGAGAACUUUCCAGAGAUGGAUUGGUGCCUUCGGGAACUCUGAGACAGGUGCUGCAUGGCUGUCGUCAGCUCGUGUUGUGAAAUGUUGGGUUAAGUCCCGCAACGAGCGCAACCCUUAUCCUUGUUUGCCAGCGAGUAAUGUCGGGAACUCCAGGGAGACUGCCGGUGAUAAACCGGAGGAAGGUGGGGACGACGUCAAGUCAUCAUGGCCCUUACGAGUAGGGCUACACACGUGCUACAAUGGCGCAUACAGAGGGCGGCCAACUUGCGAAAGUGAGCGAAUCCCAAAAAGUGCGUCGUAGUCCGGAUUGGAGUCUGCAACUCGACUCCAUGAAGUCGGAAUCGCUAGUAAUCGUGGAUCAGAAUGCCACGGUGAAUACGUUCCCGGGCCUUGUACACACCGCCCGUCACACCAUGGGAGUGGGCUGCAAAAGAAGUAGGUAGUUUAACCUUCGGGGGGACGCUUACCACUUUGUGGUUCAUGACUGGGUGAUCG
RNAcentral lists this ribosomal RNA (1113 nucleotides) under Vibrio sp. 8311. Its description in RNAcentral is "bacterial SSU rRNA". It matches the Rfam family "Bacterial small subunit ribosomal RNA", at positions 379 to 1488 of the family's 1533-position model. Lineage: Bacteria; Pseudomonadati; Pseudomonadota; Gammaproteobacteria; Vibrionales; Vibrionaceae. The record is from RNAcentral.